GACCAAUUCGAAGAAACGCGUCUACCACCCAAGGAUGCAUUCCACUCAACGCUAACGAACACGGGUAUCAGUGAUGAAGACUAUGCCUAUGCGCAAACAGUAUGGACUGCGUUUGACUGUGAAGAUCUAGGAGACUAUCACGACCUCUACCUGGAGACUGAUGUGCUGCUGUUGGCUGACGUUUUCGAAAACUUCAGAAGAACUGCUCACGCAACCUAUGGAUUGGAUCCCGCUAAUUACCUCACCUUACCGGGAUUUGCCUGGGAUUCGCUGCUGAAAAU
Long non-coding RNA from Sycon ciliatum, 281 nucleotides. RefSeq lists it as uncharacterized. Lineage: Eukaryota; Metazoa; Porifera; Calcarea; Leucosolenida; Sycettidae. The record is from RefSeq and is a predicted model, not a curated record. The transcript has 2 exons.